Molecule: ribosomal RNA, 497 nt
Filed under: uncultured bacterium
Lineage: Bacteria
Description: partial 16S ribosomal RNA
Rfam family: Bacterial small subunit ribosomal RNA
Source: RNAcentral
GAUGAACGCUGGCGGCGUGCCUAAUACAUGCAAGUCGAGCGAACGGACGAGAAGCUUGCUUUUCUGAUGUUAGCGGCGGACGGGUGAGUAACACGUGGAUAACCUACCUAUAAGACUGGGAUAACUUCGGGAAACCGGAGCUAAUACCGGAUAAUAUUUUGAACCGCAUGGUUCAAAAGUGAAAGACGGUCUUGCUGUCACUUAUAGAUGGAUCCGCGCUGCAUUAGCUAGUUGGUAAGGUAACGGCUUACCAAGGCAACGAUGCAUAGCCGACCUGAGAGGGUGAUCGGCCACACUGGAACUGAGACACGGUCCAGACUCCUACGGGAGGCAGCAGUAGGGAAUCUUUCGCAAUGGGCGAAAGCCUGACGGAGCAACGCCGCGUGAGUGAUGAAGGUCUUCGGAUCGUAAAACUCUGUUAUUAGGGAAGAACAUAUGUGUAAGUAACUGUGCACAUCUUGACGGUACCUAAUCAGAAAGCCACGGCUAACUACGUG